RNAcentral lists this ribosomal RNA (432 nucleotides) under uncultured bacterium. Its description in RNAcentral is "bacterial SSU rRNA". It matches the Rfam family "Bacterial small subunit ribosomal RNA", at positions 29 to 458 of the family's 1533-position model. The record is from RNAcentral.
AGUGAACGCUGGCGGCAGGCCUAACACAUGCAAGUCGAACGGCAGCACGGCAGUAGCAAUACUGUGGGUGGCGAGUGGCGGACGGGUGAGGAAUACAUCGGGAUCUACCCUGUUGUGGGGGAUAACGUAGGGAAACUUACGCUAAUACCGCAUAAGAACUGAGGUUGAAAGCGGCGGACCGCAAGGCGUCGCGCGAUUGGAUGAACCGAUGUCCGAUUAGCUAGUUGGCGGGGUAAAGGCCCACCAAGGCGACGAUCGGUAGCUGGUCUGAGAGGACGACCAGCCACACUGGAACUGAGACACGGUCCAGACUCCUACGGGAGGCAGCAGUGGGGAAUAUUGGACAAUGGGCGCAAGCCUGAUCCAGCCAUGCCGCGUGGGUGAAGAAGGCCUCGGUUGUAAGACCUUUGUCGGUAAGAAAGACAUCGUAUA